This 73-nucleotide transfer RNA is filed under the name Sundstroemia setigera. Its description in RNAcentral is "Rhizosolenia setigera tRNA-Phe". It matches the Rfam family "tRNA". Rfam says of the family: Transfer RNA (tRNA) molecules are approximately 80 nucleotides in length. Their secondary structure includes four short double-helical elements and three loops (D, anti-codon, and T loops). The record is from RNAcentral. Lineage: Eukaryota; Bacillariophyta; Coscinodiscophyceae; Rhizosoleniales; Rhizosoleniaceae.
GUUUAAAUAGCUCAGUAGGUAGAGCAAAGGACUGAAAAUCCUUGUGUCGUCAGUUCGAAUCUGUCUUUAAACA